RNAcentral lists this ribosomal RNA (857 nucleotides) under Ganoderma sp. RNAcentral describes it as "partial large subunit ribosomal RNA". The record is from RNAcentral. Lineage: Eukaryota; Fungi; Basidiomycota; Agaricomycetes; Polyporales; Polyporaceae.
CGGGAAAAGCUCAAAUUUAAAAUCUGGCGGAMAWAGGCCGUCCGAGUUGUAGUCUGGAGAAGCGUCUUCUACGCCGGACCGUGUACAAGUCCCUUGGAACAGGGCGUCAUAGAGGGUGAGAAUCCCGUCCAUGACACGGACCGCCGGCGGUUUGUGAUGCGCUCUCAAAGAGUCGAGUUGUUUGGGAAUGCAGCUCAAAACGGGUGGUAAAUUCCAUCUAAAGCUAAAUACUGGCGAGAGACCGAUAGCGAACAAGUACCGUGAGGGAAAGAUGAAAAGCACUUUGGAAAGAGAGUUAAACAGUACGUGAAAUUGCUGAAAGGGAAACGCUUGAAGUCAGUCGCGUCGGCCGGGGCUCAGCCUUGCAUUCGUUUGCUCGGUUUACUUCCCGGUCGACGGGCCAGCGUCGAUUUCGACCGUCGGAGAASGGUCAGGGGAAAGUGGCACCUUCGGGUGUGUUAUAGCCUUUGGUCRCAUACGACGGUUGGGAUCGAGGGACGCAGCACGCCUUUAUUGGCCGGGGCAUUCGUGCCCACGUAUCGUGCUUAGGAUGCUGGUGUAAUGGCUUUAAACGACCCGUCUUGAAACACGGACCAAGGAGUCUAACGUGCCUGCGAGUGUUUGGGUGGAAAACCCGAGCGCGCAACGAAAGUGAAAGUCGAGAUCUNUUGNUCGUGGAGAGCACCGACGCCCGGACCUGAGCUGCUUGCGAGGGAUCUGCGGUAGAGCACGCAYGUUGGGACCCGAAAGAUGGUGAACUAUGCCUGAAUAGGGUGAAGCCAGAGGAAACUCUGGUGGUYGCUCGUAGCGAUUCUGACGUGCAAAUCGAUCGUCGAAUUUGGGUAUAGGGGCGAAAG